Actinobacteria bacterium OV450 is the source of this 75-nucleotide non-coding RNA. The record is from Rfam. NCBI's taxonomy places the organism in Bacteria, Bacillati, Actinomycetota, Actinomycetes.
CUUGAGAGAGCCGAGCCACAGCGGCUUGUCCUCGUCGCGGUCCUGGCCGUAGGUGGCGAGGACGGCCUGGGCCUC